RNAcentral lists this ribosomal RNA (502 nucleotides) under uncultured bacterium. RNAcentral's name for it is "bacterial SSU rRNA". It matches the Rfam family "Bacterial small subunit ribosomal RNA", at positions 30 to 527 of the family's 1533-position model. The record is from RNAcentral.
AUUGAACGCUGGCGGAAUGCUUUACACAUGCAAGUCGAACGGUAGAGGGGGCAACCCCCUUGAGAGUGGCGAACGGGUGAGUAAUAUAUCGGAACGUGCCCAGUCGUGGGGAUAACGUAGCGAAAGUUACGCUAAUACCGCAUACGAUCUAAGGAUGAAAGCGGGGGACUCGCAAGAGCCUCGCGCGAUUGGAGCGGCCGAUAUCAGAUUAGGUAGUUGGUGGGGUAAAGGCUCACCAAGCCAACGAUCUGUAGCUGGUCUGAGAGGACGACCAGCCACACUGGAACUGAGACACGGUCCAGACUCCUACGGGAGGCAGCAGUGGGGAAUUUUGGACAAUGGACGCAAGUCUGAUCCAGCCAUUCCGCGUGCAGGAUGAAGGCCCUCGGGUUGUAAACUGCUUUUGUACGGAACGAAACGGUGAGCUCUAAUACAGUUUGCUAAUGACGGUACCGUAAGAAUAAGCACCGGCUAACUACGUGCCAGCAGCCGCGGUAAAGUG